CAUUGACUUUUUAGAAAAAAGUAUAUACACGUGUAUAUACAUCUUAGAUUGCCUGAUGAUGCUGUAGGGUAAGGUAAAAGGUAUCAGGCUUUUCUGCCCUCCCGCCAUCAGGAUAGAUGAGGGAACCCUGUGAUCCUGAAUGCAUGCCUGAUGGCGGGCACCUGAAGUGGGUACACCUGCGCUAAGACUGUGCUUUUAAGGGCGGCGUCACAGGGACGCCAGAAGCCGAGAAAGCAGCAGCAGAAGCCGAAGAGAAGCCGAGAUCACCAGAGAGCCCAGAUAGAGUAAAGGUUUGCUGGGGGCUGGGAGGCCUGCCAGCCUCCCGGCCCCCCAGCACCCCUGCCUGCCACAUACCCGCUGAACCCCAAUAAAAGGCCUGCAAAAAACCACUGAGGACUCUGACUGCUCCUUUACCCGGUCUGCAUUGGAUCAGAAAACCUGCACUGUGGCCAGUCCUGCCUCUACAGAUGCCAAUGUCCCCAGGGACCUGGAAGGACUGGCUGGAGGGAUGAGCUACUCACACAGUCGUUUACAGGAGUUCUCCCAGAAAGCAGUCAUCAAAUCUCAUCUGUGGGAAGAAAAACCUUCAAGAAAAAUGGGGUUUAAAUCUUUCUCUUUUAUCUUUUGGACUUCAAGUACAAAGACUUGAAUUAAUCACCCUCUCAGUUCAUGCAUGAUCAUCCAGGUCAUUUUUCUCUGGCGGUGCUUCAAAUGAUGCCUCCGGUGUUAACCUGGUCACUGAAGAACUAGGGAAUCCUUUCUGAUCCGGGCAUCAGCAAAUCAACAGCACACUCUUUGAUCUCUCCACCACCAUCCUCUCAUCUGCACUCUACAGUAGCCUCCUAACUGGCUGCCUUGCUUGUAUUCUUGACUUUUUCCUAUUCAUUCUCCACCUACCAGAGUGAUAGAGCUUAGAAUAGUACUGUACAGGC
Long non-coding RNA from Talpa occidentalis (Iberian mole), 932 nucleotides. RefSeq lists it as uncharacterized. Lineage: Eukaryota; Metazoa; Chordata; Mammalia; Eulipotyphla; Talpidae. The transcript has 3 exons. The record is from RefSeq and is a predicted model, not a curated record.